This is an RNA transcript of Aphis gossypii (cotton aphid), 1702 nucleotides long. RefSeq lists it as uncharacterized. NCBI's taxonomy places the organism in Eukaryota, Metazoa, Arthropoda, Insecta, Hemiptera, Aphididae. The transcript has 3 exons. The record is from RefSeq and is a predicted model, not a curated record.
GCACUGAAAUAUUGAACGACAUAUUAUAUAUAAUAAUAUUCUUAUUAUAAUGCAUAAAUGUAAAACAAAUAUAAUAUUAUUUAUACUAAUCAAUCCAAUUUUACUAAGUUUGAUACUUAUUUAUUUAUAAUCGAUGACAAUCCGUAAAGGAUACAUUAAUAUACUGUUUAGUGUUUAAUAAAUAGUAUUAAUUUUAAACGCUUAUCAAUGUUCCCUAGUAAAGGGCCUAGUGUAUAGGCUAAGUACAGGGGAAAGGGGAAAAGCUAUCACCGCAUCAACUUAACGCGCUAUGCGUAUGAGCUAGAGCUAGACGUAUAGAUGUAGUAUAUAAGUAGGUGUAAAAUGGGAGUUCUGGAACCUGAACUGAGCCCCUGAGCCGCUGAGCCUUGCUGAGCCGCCGCCGCCGACAACGUGGUUAUCAUGUUAUCAUAUUACAUACACCAUAUUAUUGUACACGCGCCAUAUUAUUGUACAUGCACAUGCGCAGAAGAACUAUUUUAUAAUAUUAUUGUACACACAAACUAUAUUACCGUGCACACAUAUUCAACAGUUAUCAUACGAAAUAAGUAUUAUUGUACACUUUAUUUCUAACAGCUAGUUUAAAUAAAAAAGAUGAUAAACUCAUUUUUCUUAACACUACAGUACGCUUCACGAAAACGUACGGAUGACCGCAACACGCCAUUUGUCGAUUUUUCUAAAAACCAAGGCCACUGGGCCUCAGUAAUAGUCAGUAUUUGAUCUCUAUCACAAGUGCGUGCCACUGGUUUGACAGGUACUAUACAUUUUGGAACAGUUAUAUAGGUUAGGUCAUCCGCACGUUUUGUCGUUUUCGUGAAGCGUACUAUACUCCUCGUGGCUCGUAUAGGCCUAUCCGAUGAAGCGAAUAUUUACAUAAACCACAAAAUCAUUGGUUUUAUGUUUUAUAGUUUUAUACUUUUAUCAUAAAACAUUAAAACGUCGCCGCACACGGGACACGGCAAGAACCGAAGAGGUAUUCGAUAUAACCAAAUACUCGAGCUUCGAUAUCGAAUUUUUCUUACGUGAAAUCUUCGAAGAAGCCUAUCGGCUAUCAAUUACAUUGCGACGAUGGGCAUACCAAAUGGAAACUCCAUCUACUUGAUAAUAGUAAAAAAUUAGAAGAUAAGAAAAAAUUAGAAUUAGUAAAACGAAAAAAAUUGUUGUUUAAUUUGAAAAAUAACUUUCCAUGAAAAAAAAUGAUGAAGAGGAGUCAUGGUGAAAAACGUAUAGUACAAUCUUUAGAUAAAAACAAUGGUCGAAGGGCGUGACAGAAGGCCUGAGCUGAGCUAUAAAUUGGCACUUGAAAUCGAAAAGUCAAUGGAAAAAGAAAACUACAAAUAGGAUCUAUUUUAAGUGUAAUUAUAAAAUUAAAAUUUUAGUGAAACAGUAACUUUGUAAUUGAAAACUACAUAAGAAAUCUCAUCGGUUGUUCAGUCAUCGUCAUAGUAUUCGAUUUAUUCUCAUUAUUUUUAGACUUCAAUAGGUCUCUGGUAUAAACUUACUUGGAAAUUUAAAGAGUUGUGUUUAGUUUAUAAACCACAAAUUUCCAUAAAAAGUACUUAAUAUAUAAUAUAGAAAACAUAAUUUGUACGUUUGCACUGAGUAUAUUUAAUAACUGUAUAAAAAUUAAAUUUAUAUUAGAAUAAUAACAAUAAUUGCAUACUAUUUAAGUAUCAAACAAACA